UGAAUGAAUUAACAUUUUCUAUUGAAACAAAUGUUCUCUAAAAAGUCGUUUUUGUUACUUUACUUUCAGCUGUUUUCAAGGAUUAUUCAGAUUUUUCGAAUUCAGGAAUUCACUUGAAGUAUUUAACAGAUCAUCCAGCUUCUUCCCAGCAUAAUUUUCCUAAUAAGUGGCAUUUUAACCUACUUUCUUCAGGAAAAGAGAAAUAACUUCAAGGAGAAAGAAAGUACACGGCCAUCCUGUGUUAGGUCAAUGAAGCAUGUGAGAUAAAGGCAGCUGGUGCCACAGGAGGGACAGCAUAGCAGGAAACAAAGCAGGCCUUGCAAGGACCAAGGGGAUGGACAGGCUGAGCACUGAACAGACAAGUGUGGGGCGUUCGUGAGAUGCAAGAAAAGAAGAAAUGGAGACGCUCAAGGGGCAGAAGGAGAGAGGACACUGCUCCCUGCAGCAUGGCUUUGAUGGCCACAGUUUAUGCUCUGUAUCUCAGGCUGGAGUGCACUGUCACGAACACCACUCACUGCAGCCUUGACCUCCCAAGCUGAAGCCAUCCUCCCACCUCAGCCUCCUGAGUAGCUGGGACCACAGGUGCACACCACCAUGAAUCACUGCCUGACUAAUUUAUUUUUAUUUCUAGUAGAAACAGGGUCUCCCUAUGUUGCCCAGACCAGUCCUCAACCUCCUGGGCUCAAGUAAUACUCCCAAAGUGCUGGGAUACUAACGUCAGCUAUAGUGCCUGUCCUUCUCUUUCCUUUUAAAGUUUAUUGUGUAUUCAAACGGUUUAUAAAGAUUAGAGUUUAAAGAAAAACUAGUUUUCAAUUUCUGACAUGGCAAAUAAAUAUUAAAGCAUGGACAACCCAUUUCCUAUCUGCAGGGCAGGGCAUCAGUGGUAGGCUGGACUCUGAACAGAGCUCCGUGUGUGUUCAAGGACAGCCAUCAUCUUACACAUUAGGUCAAAUUUGCUAUGUAGAUUCGGUAGUAAUCUGGGACAUGUAACUUCUGGGGUGAUGAAAAUGUUCAUUAUCUUCAUUAUGGCAAUCAUUUUAUGAAAAUACAAAUAUGGAUAUAUAUGAAUGGAUAGCCAUAUAUUUGUGGAUAUGGAUAUAUAUGUGUGUGUGAAAAUUUAUCAUA
Molecule: long non-coding RNA, 1125 nt
Organism: Callithrix jacchus (white-tufted-ear marmoset)
Lineage: Eukaryota; Metazoa; Chordata; Mammalia; Primates; Cebidae
Source: RefSeq, a predicted model, not a curated record